This 1350-nucleotide ribosomal RNA is filed under the name Triticum aestivum (bread wheat). RNAcentral's name for it is "partial small subunit ribosomal RNA". Lineage: Eukaryota; Viridiplantae; Streptophyta; Magnoliopsida; Poales; Poaceae. The record is from RNAcentral.
AUGGCCGUAGCAAUGCCAGCUGCGCUUCUCCUGCUUCUCCUCCUGGUCGCGCCGCCGGCGGCGGGCUCGUCGGAGGCGGCAGUCCGGCCGAACCCCAAGAUCGUCAACUGGGUCGCAGGCAACGCCCGCGCCUCCACGCCCGACAGCUUCGGCUCCCUCAUCUUCGACCUCUCCGUCGGGACGCCGCGGCAGACCCUCUCCUUCGUCAUGGACAUCACCGAGCAGCUCGUCUGGGCGCAGUGCCGGGAACAUGGGUUCGCGCAGUCGCAGGCGCCCACCUUCAGGCCCGGCAGCUCCUUCGCCCCGAUUGGCUGCAACGACACGGCAUGUCAGAGCCUGGCCCAGCCCCCCGACGACAACUGCACCCAUCCCGACGACCACUGCAAGUACGCAUGGGACUUCCAGCGCCGCGGCAGCGGCGCCAUGUCCGGCUACCUCGCCACCGAGACGUUCAGCUUCGGGGCCAAGUCCGUCCCCGGCAUGGUGUUCGGCUGCAGCGACAACGUCAUGGUGCGGGCCCUCGGCGGCGUCUCUGGCUUCGCCGGAUUCAGCAGGGCCCCCCUCUCCCUCGUCUCGCAGCUCCACGUCUCCAAGUUCUCCUAUUUCAUCGACCACAACAACGGCGACGACAGCAGCUUCCUCAGCCUGGGCGACGCGGGCGCCGCGCAGGCUAUGGGCAACAACAGCACGCCGCUGCUGCCAGCCACGACCAGACAGGACAGUUACCUCUACUACGUCAAUCUCACCGGCAUUCAGGUCGACGGGGAGCUCCUCGCCGACAUCCAGGCGGGGACCUUCGCCGUCCAGGAAGACGGCUCCGGCGGGGUGUUCCUCAGCACAACAAUUCCCUACACCUUCCUCCAAGAGGCCGCGUACAAGGUUCUGAAGCAGGAGCUCGCGAGCAGGAUUCGGUCACAGGGCGUAGCUCCGAUGAACGCCACAGCCGACGACCUGUGCUUCCUCAAGGAGAACUUUCGCAGCGUCAAGGUUCCGAGGCUAGCGCUGGUGUUCGAUGGCGCCGACGCGGCGAUGGAGCUCAAUGUGAAGAACUACUUCUCCAUCUACGACGAAUGGCGCACGUGCCUCACCAUACUGCCGUCGCCGAACGGCGCGGCGGCCGUCCUGGGCAGCCUGCUGCAGACGGGCAGGACCAUGACCUACGACAUUCAUGGCGACGGCGGCCAGCUGACAUUCGAGCCGGUGGCAGCGGGUGGCUCGGCGCCGGCGCAUGCGGGUGGCCCGGACCCGGCGCCGGCCCAUGCGCAUGCGGGUGCCCCUGCGCCGGCGCAUGCGUCGCUCGUCAUAACAGCCACUCUUCUGGCCUGGGUGCUCCUCCUCCAGCAGUUCUAG